RNAcentral lists this ribosomal RNA (421 nucleotides) under uncultured archaeon. RNAcentral describes it as "partial 16S ribosomal RNA". It matches the Rfam family "Archaeal small subunit ribosomal RNA", at positions 63 to 472 of the family's 1478-position model. The record is from RNAcentral.
GGAGGUGCAAGACCUCGNCNNCGCACUGGCUGAGUAACACGUAUUACCUUGGGNNCCCUGAGGUGGGGAAUCUCGNCGAAUAGGCUAANUACCCCAAUAGGCUAUGGAUACUGGAAUGUCCAUAAUUCANAAACCCACGGGGCCUCAGGAUGGGGACUGGCGGCGUAUCAGGUAGAGUUCAGGGUAAACACCUGGAAUUUGCCGAUAACGCGGUUAGGGGCNUAUGNNAGCAGUAGGAGCCUCCAGAUGCCUUCUGAGACAUGAAGGCAGGGCCUACGGGUCGCAGCAGGCGCGAAAACUUUCCAAUGCAUUAGCGUGUGAGAAGGGUAGCUUGAGUGGUGCAACUAAGUUGCACCUUUUGCCAUGUCUAGAAAGCAUGGCGAAUAAAGGGUGGGUAAGACGGGUGCCAGCCGCCGCGGUA